GGCGCACGGGUGAGCAACACGUGGGUAACCUGCCCUUGAGAGUGGGACAACUACGGGAAACUGUAGCUAAUACCGCAUAAGACCACAAGGUGAGAAUCUGGUGGUAAAAUGGAUUUAUUCGCUCAAGGAUGGGCCCGCGGCCUAUCAGGUUGUUGGUGGGGUAAAGGCCUACCAAGCCGAUGACGGGUAGCCGGACUGAGAGGUUGAACGGCCACACUGGAACUGAGACACGGUCCAG
Molecule: ribosomal RNA, 238 nt
Filed under: uncultured bacterium
Lineage: Bacteria
Description: partial 16S ribosomal RNA
Rfam family: Bacterial small subunit ribosomal RNA
Source: RNAcentral